CAAAUGCGAUACGCAAUGCGAAUUGCAGAAUUCCGCGAGUCAUCAGAUCUUUGAACGCAAAUGGCGCUGGGAUAACCAAUACCCCAGCAUGUUUGUUUCAGUGUGUUAGGAAUUCAUAUAUCUUAAUGCGAUUGAUUGAGAAUGAUUUAUUUCUUUCUCUCUCGUUAAAUAUGAAAGUGCUGAAUCGUUCAGUGCCAACUGAAGUAGUCACUUCUUUAGCAAGUGAUCUCAGUUGUUUGCAUUUAAACUGAAGAUUCACUUUAAAGCAACUUUUCUAAUAUAUAUUUCUAUAUCUCUCCACACAACACCUGAAAUCAAGCAAGAUCACCCGCUGAACUUAA
This 341-nucleotide unclassified non-coding RNA is filed under the name uncultured fungus. RNAcentral's name for it is "sequence contains ITS1". The stretch from base 1 to 106 matches the Rfam family "5.8S ribosomal RNA", at positions 50 to 154 of the family's 154-position model. Lineage: Eukaryota; Fungi. The record is from RNAcentral.